RNAcentral lists this ribosomal RNA (390 nucleotides) under uncultured bacterium. Its description in RNAcentral is "bacterial SSU rRNA". It matches the Rfam family "Bacterial small subunit ribosomal RNA", at positions 143 to 518 of the family's 1533-position model. The record is from RNAcentral.
AUAGCCCAGGGAAACCUGGAUUAAUACCGGAUGAGACGGGACCCGCGAAGGCGGGACCCGGGAAAGGCGCUGCGGCGCCGCCGGGGGAUGAGUCUGCGUCCCAUUAGCUAGACGCGGGGUAACGGCCCACCGUGGCGACGAUGGGUAGCCGGCCUGAGAGGGUGGAACGGCCACAUUGGAACUGAGACACGGUCCAGACUCCUACGGGAGGCAGCAGCUAAGAAUCUUCCGCAAUGGGCGAAAGCCUGACGGAGCCGACGCCGCGUGAACGAAGAAGGCCGUGAGGUUGUAAAGUUCUUUUCGGGUAGGGGGAACAACCGUGGCAGGGAAUGGCCGCGGGAUGACGUGAAUCCCGGAAUAAGCCCCGGCUAACUACGUGCCAGCCGCUGC